RNAcentral lists this long non-coding RNA (900 nucleotides) under Androctonus crassicauda. Lineage: Eukaryota; Metazoa; Arthropoda; Arachnida; Scorpiones; Buthidae. The record is from RNAcentral.
GUUCAUUUUCGUUUUUACACGGUUCGGAAGCACCCCUUGUGAGUCACGCACUCUUUUUUUUUUUAGAGGAAAAAUAUCGAAGGUCGAAACGAACCAAUGGCGUUUACUAGCGAGGUAUAAAUUUUUUUUACCUUGGCUAUAAAUUUCCGUGGUAUCGAAAAAAGCAGAAUGCCAAAGCGUUGAUAAAUUCGGUAAUAAUCUUAUAUAAAAACUUAAGUAGUUGUAUCGGAAGAAAUGUCGACAAAUAUAACGCAUUUUUCGCCACCAACCUGUUUUAUGUCGCAUUUCCUCGUAUCGGUUAUUUAUUUAUUAAACUGUCACUGUCUUCGUUAUUAACGGAAUUAAUCGACAUCCGUUUAGCAUUAAGCCUGUAGAUAAUAAAAACCAAUGGCCGCAUUAACUGUGGGCAUUUACGUUUAAAUAAAGAAACCAUCAGAAUCGACAAAAGCUUUCGGUCAAACAACCACUUAACUCUGUCGACAAUCCAAACACGAAAUGGCUUUGGUCGUUAACGGUCCGUCCAGUCAUUAACGUUGGAAGGGAUAUAAGAGUUAUCUUCCGUUUUCCACCAUCAGUCAUGAAGCCACUACCGGUGUGGAUUUUGGUGCUACUCGUCCUAGGAGCUGUAGGAAGCAGAAACUGGAGAGAAAGAACUGCGGAACGAACGGCAUGCGAUCGUGGACAACUAACCGACGCUUCUCAUCGACUGGAGGGAAACUCUACUCAACGUUCUUGGAACAGUUCCAUCCGGAAACCUGUACCUUCGUCUAAUCAGGACGAUUAAUUGAAAACUAAUAAAGUAUCGAAUAUGUAAAGAAUUUUCUUUUUCCUCAUUUUUCUACGGGCUGGUCACUGCUAAAGUCGGUGGCAAUUACUACCGGCCUAGUUCGCUCAGAUCGG